RNAcentral lists this ribosomal RNA (460 nucleotides) under uncultured bacterium. RNAcentral's name for it is "partial 16S ribosomal RNA". It matches the Rfam family "Bacterial small subunit ribosomal RNA", at positions 338 to 795 of the family's 1533-position model. The record is from RNAcentral.
CCUACGGGUGGCAGCAGUGAGGAAUAUUGGUCAAUGGGCGGAAGCCUGAACCAGCCAAGUAGCGUGCAGGAUGACGGCCCUACGGGUUGUACACUGCUUUUAUACGGGAAUAACGCGCCUUGCGUGUAGGGCUUUGCAUGUACCUAAUGAAUAAGGACCGGCUAAUUCCGUGCCAGCAGCCCCGGUAAUACGGAAGGUCCGGGCGUUUUCCGGAUUUAUUGGGUUUAAAGGGAGCGUAGGCUGCAUUUCAAGCGUGCUGUGAAAUGUUCGGGCUCAACCCGGUCCUUGCAGCGGAAACUGGCGUUCGUGAGUGCGGGGAAGGCAGGCGGAAUUCGUGGUGUAGCGGUGAAAUGCUUAGAUAUGACGAAGAACACCGAUUGCGAAGGCAGGUUGCUGGAGCGGAACUGACGCUGAUGCUCGAAAGCGCGGGUAGCGAACAGGAUUAGAUACCCCAGUAGUC